ACGAACGCUGGCGGCGUGCUUAACACAUGCAAGUCGAACGGUGAAGCGCCUUCCUUUUUGGUGGGUGUGGAUGAGUGGCGAACGGGUGAGUAACACGUGAGUAACCUGCCCCCUUCUUCUGGAUAACCGCAUGAAGGUGUGGCUAAUACGGGAUAUUCUGGGUCUGUCGCAUGAUGGGUCUGGGAAAGAUAUUGUUUUGGUGGGGGAUGGGCUCGCGGCCUAUCAGCUUGUUGGUGGGGUGAUGGCCUACCAAGGCGGUGACGGGUAGCCGGCCUGAGAGGGUGGACGGUCACACUGGGACUGAGACACGGCCCAGACUCCUACGGGAGGCAGCAGUGGGGAAUAUUGCACAAUGGGCGCAAGCCUGAUGCAGCGACGCCGCGUGAGGGAUGGAGGCCUUCGGGUUGUGAACCUCUUUCGCCAGUGAAGCAGGCCUGCCUCGUUUGUGGGUGGGUUGAUGGUAGCUGGAUAAGAAGCGCCGGCUAACUACGUG
This 493-nucleotide ribosomal RNA is filed under the name uncultured bacterium. RNAcentral describes it as "partial 16S ribosomal RNA". It matches the Rfam family "Bacterial small subunit ribosomal RNA", at positions 29 to 507 of the family's 1533-position model. The record is from RNAcentral.